UACGAAGGGAGCUAGCGUUGUUCGGAAUCACUGGGCGUAAAGCGCACGUAGGCGGAUUUGUCAGUCGGGGGUGAAAUCCCGAGGCUCAACCUCGGAACUGCCUCCGAUACAGCAAAUCUCGAGUCCGGGAGAGGUGGGUGGAAUUCCUAGUGUAGAGGUGAAAUUCGUAGAUAUUAGGAAGAACACCAGUGGCGAAGGCGGCCCACUGGCCCGGUACUGACGCUGAGGUGCGAAAGCUAGGGGAGCGAAAGGG
This 253-nucleotide ribosomal RNA is filed under the name uncultured bacterium. RNAcentral's name for it is "partial 16S ribosomal RNA". It matches the Rfam family "Bacterial small subunit ribosomal RNA", at positions 524 to 776 of the family's 1533-position model. The record is from RNAcentral.